CAACUUGCAUCGCGUAGCGUGACGAGGUUAAUCCGAGUGACUCCCGCUGAGGGGGUCUUUUGUCAGCUGUAAAUAGGCAGGCGAAUAAGGGGAGGGCAAGCCUGGUGUCAGCCGCCGCGGUAAUACCAGCUCCUCGAGUGGUCGGGGCGAUUAUUGGGCCUAAAGCAUCCGUAGCCGGUUCCGUAGGUCCUCUGUUAAAUCCAACCGCUUAACGGUUGACCUGCAGAGGAUACCGCGGGACUAGGAGGCGGGAGAGGCGGACGGUACUCCGCGUGUAGGGGUAAAAUCCUUUGAUCCGCGGAAGACCACCAGUGGCGAAGGCGGUCCGCCAGAACGCGCUCGACGGUGAGGGAUGAAAGCUGGGGGAGCGAACCGGAUUAGAUACCCGGGUAGUCCCAGCCGUAAACGAUGCUAGCUAGAUGAUUCAUUCGCAAGUCGCGAAUGAAGUGUCGCAGGGAAGCCGUUAAGCUAGCCGCCUGGGGAGUACGGUCGCAAGACUGAAACU
Molecule: ribosomal RNA, 505 nt
Filed under: uncultured archaeon
Lineage: Archaea
Description: bacterial SSU rRNA
Rfam family: Archaeal small subunit ribosomal RNA
Source: RNAcentral